CUACGUAGGGUGCGAGCGUUGUCCGGAAUUACUGGGCGUAAAGAGCUCGUAGGUGGUUUGUCGCGUCGUCUGUGGAAUUCCGGGGCUUAACUCCGGGCGUGCAGGCGAUACGGGCAUAACUUGAGUACUGUAGGGGAGACUGGAAUUCCUGGUGUAGCGGUGAAAUGCGCAGAUAUCAGGAGGAACACCGGUGGCGAAGGCGGGUCUCUGGGCAGUAACUGACGCUGAGGAGCGAAAGCAUGGGUAGCGAACAGGAUUAGAUACCCUGGUAGUCCAUGCCGUAAACGGUGGGCGCUAGGUGUAGGGGUCUUCCACGACUUCUGUGCCGUAGCUAACGCAUUAAGCGCCCCGCCUGGGGAGUUCGGCCGCAAGGCUAAAACUCAAAUGAAUUGACGGGG
This 398-nucleotide ribosomal RNA is filed under the name uncultured bacterium. RNAcentral's name for it is "partial 16S ribosomal RNA". It matches the Rfam family "Bacterial small subunit ribosomal RNA", at positions 523 to 918 of the family's 1533-position model. The record is from RNAcentral.